UACGUAGGGGUACAAGCGUUUAAUCGGAAUUACUGGGCGUAAAGCGUGCGCAGGCGGUGAUGUAAGACAGAUGUGAAAUCCCCGGGCUCAACCUGGGAACUGCAUUUGUGACUGCAUAGCUAGAGUACGGUAGAGGGGGAUGGAAUUCCGCGUGUAGCAGUGAAAUGCGUAGAUAUGCGGAGGAACACCGAUGGCGAAGGCGCGACCUGGUUCAUUACUGAGCUGAGGCGCGAAAGCUGGGGGAGCGAACGG
This 252-nucleotide ribosomal RNA is filed under the name uncultured bacterium. RNAcentral describes it as "partial 16S ribosomal RNA". It matches the Rfam family "Bacterial small subunit ribosomal RNA", at positions 524 to 775 of the family's 1533-position model. The record is from RNAcentral.